UUGCCUAGUUACCAGCACGUUAUGGUGGGCACUCUAAGGAGACUGCCGGUGACAAACCGGAGGAAGGUGGGGAUGACGUCAAGUCAUCAUGGCCCUUACGGCCUGGGCUACACACGUGCUACAAUGGUCGGUACAAAGGGUUGCCAAGCCGCGAGGUGGAGCUAAUACCCAUAAAACCGAUCGUAGUCCGGAUCGCAGUCUGCAACUCGACUGCGUGAAGUCGGAAUCGCUAGUAAUCGUGAAUCAGAAUGUCACGGUGAAUACGUUCCCGGGCCUU
This 277-nucleotide ribosomal RNA is filed under the name uncultured Pseudomonas sp. RNAcentral's name for it is "partial 16S ribosomal RNA". It matches the Rfam family "Bacterial small subunit ribosomal RNA", at positions 1107 to 1382 of the family's 1533-position model. The record is from RNAcentral. Lineage: Bacteria; Pseudomonadati; Pseudomonadota; Gammaproteobacteria; Pseudomonadales; Pseudomonadaceae.